This 441-nucleotide ribosomal RNA is filed under the name Triticum aestivum (bread wheat). RNAcentral's name for it is "partial small subunit ribosomal RNA". The record is from RNAcentral. Lineage: Eukaryota; Viridiplantae; Streptophyta; Magnoliopsida; Poales; Poaceae.
AUGACGAUCUUUAGCUGGAACUGCCGGGGCUUGGGCCACCCUGGUACGGUUCGGGAAUUGGUGUGCCUAGUGCAUACACAUCGCCCCUCUGUUGUGUUCAUUUCAGAGACACGACAGUGUGAAGAGAGCGUUAAAAGAAUAAGAGAUAGAAUAGGACUCAAGAAUUGUAUCACCCAUGAUGGAGUUGGCAAGGGUGUCGGCAUCGCCCUCUUUUGGGACGAUAGCGUUGAAAUAAAUCUGCUCUCUUAUGGUUCGCAUUACAUUGAUGUUCAUAUCCGGGAUUCCCCCAACAGACCACUCUGGAGAGGUACAUUUGUGUAUGGUGAGCCGCGUGCCCAAGAGAGAUACCAUAUGUGGAACCUAAUCCGGAGAAUAAAGCCUAGAUCAGCAGAACCUUGGAUGAUGAUUGGUGACUUCAAUGAAACUAUGUGGCACAUAUAA